RNAcentral lists this transfer RNA (80 nucleotides) under Dichanthelium oligosanthes. It matches the Rfam family "tRNA". From Rfam's summary of the family: Transfer RNA (tRNA) molecules are approximately 80 nucleotides in length. Their secondary structure includes four short double-helical elements and three loops (D, anti-codon, and T loops). The record is from Rfam by way of RNAcentral. Lineage: Eukaryota; Viridiplantae; Streptophyta; Magnoliopsida; Poales; Poaceae.
GUUAAGAUGGCCGAGUUGGUCUAAGGCGCCAGGUUCAGGUUACGGCCGAAAGGGCAUGGGUUCGAAUCCCAUUAUAUACA